This 756-nucleotide long non-coding RNA is filed under the name Vulpes vulpes (red fox). RNAcentral describes it as "lncRNA (ENSVVUG00000014148.1)". The record is from RNAcentral. Lineage: Eukaryota; Metazoa; Chordata; Mammalia; Carnivora; Canidae.
ACUUUUAUUGUGUUCUUCAAGAGAAUCACUCAUUACUUAUUCCCACUGGCAUCUCAUUUUUCUAAAUAAAUGCUCCAGUAUGAAAAAUCUAGGAGUCAUAAAGUAUCUUGUCACACACAGAACCAGAGAUUUUACCACUGACAGGAUGGCUCCCCUAUGGCAUGAACACAUUUGAAUGUGCUUGCCCUUUGUCUUUGAUGGCAAAGAGGACAUGUGUAACCAAGGCCACUGACUUUGAUCCAAAACAUGAAGAACAGAAAAGAAGUUGGUUAUUCCCUCUGGAACCACCUUUUCAUAUAGCUAGCAGUGUGGAAUAUCCCAAUUCUAUUAAGGCAAGGCUAUUCUCUUAAGAGCCUAUCAUUCCACAGAAACCAUAGCAGCUUAGUCAAGAAGAGACCAGAACUACUGGUUCUAUAUUCUGCUCCAUUAAGCAAAGCACGACUGUAAUGAAACACUCAGCUGUAUAAUUUAUUCAGAGAAAAGAAUAUUAUGGUUAUAUUUAUCCAUUUCAAUCACAUUACAAUUAUAAUUAUCAGCCCCUUCCAAUGUGUAUAUUAGAAAAAUGUUUUUCAUAAAAUAUGUUUCAUGAAAUACUUCUCAUUCAUGCCUCUCCAGAUAUAGUAGUAGAUUGUUUAAAAAUCUGAGUAAAACAUAAAAGGUUCCUCAUGUUUAUUACUUUGUUUUGUAUUUAAUUGAAGCCAGAUGCUAAUCUCUCAGUAAUGCAAUAAAUAUGUGAAACUCUUUAUUAUUUGUACA